UACUUUAUACAACACUGCACUACAUAUACAUAUAUAUAUAUAUAUAUAUACACACACACACAACAUUAUCUACCUACAAAAUCCUAAAAAUCAGCCACCGUUCCCCUUUGCUCCGCCCCCAGGUCAACUCUCCAUUUGCACGGUUUACAACAGUAACCCUCCGGUUGCCUACUUAGUGACUUUUUCGCUAUAUUUUGCACACAGGCAAAAAGAAUCAGCAGGUCAGGUUUUUCAAAGAUCGAUGAUUGGGCAAAAAAAUUGCAAUUGGUGCGAAGCUGCUUUUUUUUUAAUAGCAAUUUUUCUGUAGAACGUUUGAUAACUAAUCAAUGUGAAGACCAUUACUAAAACAAAAUAGUUAUUAAAGAAGUACUUGGACAUCUUGAAUAUGUCUACAUAUUCGACAGAACAUUCCUAAUGAAGAUAAACUGGACGGUAUUAUCUAUUUAUUUAUCCUUCUUCAUUUCUAUGUUUUUUUCAUCUCCUCCCUCUUUCAAUUUUUAAUCAACUGAAUCUUUCUAAUUAUAAGGUUUAUUUCCUUACCAAGCUCAUAGUCAGGGUGAGUAUUUCCCCUCUGACAGCCAAACCUGGUCAAAAUCUUUAUUCUGUGGCAAUUGGAUUUUAUCUGCGUGUCUAUCUGAACGGCACUUGGACUAUUUUGCCCUUCGCUUGUAGCAGCAGGACAUUUCCUCCCGCCGCUGCUAGCUGGAGGCUAAAGCUAGUUCCGCUUUUUAACUUCGCCUUGAGCGCGAGCAAGCAGAGCAGUUUAUUACUUUUAUGUAACUUUGGCAGUUUUCUUGCUCUUUAAAUAGUCACAGAAACCCGUUUCACAGCAACACUGACUUUUAGUAUCUUUAAAAACACGACAUGCAAAGCAAAACACAGCUGGGAGAACUCAGCCUGUUUAAUGUACUCACCACUUGGAGCUGGCUUUCAGAGCGCGAUCUGGAGAGGAGACAUUUCUGAUUUUGUGUAACCCUGUUCCGAUGCUUUAAAAUUAACAUCCAUAUUUUGACAGCUCCCUGCUUCUUGCUCAGUCCGAACACCCGAACCCGAAAGCUCCACCGCCUCUGACUCCGCAGGCACCAGAUCAGACCCAGAUCCAGGUUCUGGUGGACCGUAGAGCCGCUGUUAGCAAGGCUAACGGUGGUUCUGUUCCAUGUCCAAUAUGAGGUUUAAAAACCCUGUAGCUUGGAUAUUUUCUUCAUCACCUCUCUGUCGCGCUCCGCUGUCAUACUUUCUGUUGUCCAAGGUAUUUUAUUUGUAACUGACUUAAUGGAUAGUAAUGGUGUUUUGUUAGAUCAUAGAGAUUUUACCAACAAAUUUGAUCUGAACUGUACUUGUAAUGAAUAUCUAAAAGUAUGUAAAUCUAUUCCUGUAGCUCUGAUCCAUCUCAUCCAAAACACCUUAAGAUAUUCAAAUGUUAUUUCAUCUUUACCCAAAUUGAAAAUUGGAGAAUAUAGUGUGACUGAUAGAAAGUGCAAUAAUGUUCUGCUUGUGACGGCCUUCAAAUCUAAAUUAUUUAAUGAUUACAACAAUAGUAUCUUGAUAACAACCAAUCUGUCUAUUAUAAAGAAUUUGUUCUCCAAGUAUGUAAAAUGGCCGAUUUCACCAAAGGUUAAAGAAACUCACUUCAAAAUCUCACAAUUUUUACCCAGUGGCUGAAUUUUUUCACAAAAGAUUUAAAUUUGAUUCAACAUGUUGUGCCUUUAGUGAAUGUCCAGAAGAAUCAUUAAUCAGCUCUUUUUUUCUGUCCUUUUUCUUUUAAACUAUGGAGAGACAUUAAAAAUUGGUUGUCCCUUAAAAUUGAAGCCAUCCCAGAGAUAACCAUCACCCACAUAUUAUACUAUGUUGAUGGCCUUGAUAGUCAAAUAUCUGACAUGGUAAAUAUUGUCUUCUUGCUUGUUAAAUAUCAUAAAUCCUGCUGUAAAUGGAGAGGUUCUACACCUUGUUUUGAUUUUUUUUCUUAACCAAUUUAAAUUGUAUUACACCUCAUUGAAACAUUUGAAAUCUAUUUCUGCAAAAAAGUAACUGCCAGUAUCUCUACUUUUCUUUUGUUUUAAAAUCUUGCUCUAUUGUUAUUCAUUUGCCUUACUGUUUAUGUGCUGAUGUAACAAGUGUGUAAAACUGUUUAUAUUUCACCUCAAAUCCAUCCUCAUUACCUGUGUAUAUUUGUUUUUCUUAGUUUUUGAAUUGUAUUUUAUUUUGGCGGAGAAGCUUUUAUUUUCUUGUUUCCUGUCUCCGUGUCAUAUCCUGUGUGUUCGCGCUGCCCUCCUCAGUUCGCGCCAAGCUGCGCUGGGGAGAGGUAAGCGUACAAAGUUGUCUUGUGUUUGUCUGUUGAAGUAUUCAAAAUGUCCUUAAAAGUAUUUUUGCCAAACUCGCAAGUUUUUAUAUGUUGUUUCCCAACUGUUUUAUGUUUAGCGCAGCACUGUACUGGGCACUUAAUUCCCACGUUAAGGACAUUUAUUGAGUUUACCGUGCCAAUGUGGUUAUUUUUGUUCUUUUGAUUUGUUAAGGUGUGUGUGGGAAAGCCAGAGCCCAAGAACUGGAGUGCUGAUGCAUUUUUUGUUUUAAACAGAGAAUUUUGGUUGGUUUUACCACAGUCCUGAGUUCGCGCCAAGCUGCGCUGGGGAGAGGUGUGUGUGGGAAAGCCAGAGCCCAAGAACUGGAGUGCUGAUGCAUUUUUUGUUUUAAACAGAAUAAAUCUGCCCUACUGCUGCAAUACACCCUGGUGUCCUCGUCUGCUGGUUCCCUUUGCCUAUACACACAACGCAGAGUACAUGUACAACAGAUGAGUCGGAUGAGUGCGGCUACAGUGGUGCCGUGACCCGGAUCCACACUGCUUCGGACAAGUUCAUCGUGGUUCGUGAAGAGUGGAUCAACGUCAGCUGGUCACCUGAGGUUGCUUGUUACAUUAACCCGUCUAUACAGACUGAAUAGUGUGACAGAGUCAAACGUGGAAUAGUGUUCCAGCAACAAAAACAGAUAUUGUGUAUAUAUUUGGUUUUAUGUAAAGAACUGUAAAAAAAAAAAAAAAAAAAAAAAAAAACUGAAAAUGACUUAUGUUAAAAAUAAGG
Xiphophorus hellerii (green swordtail) is the source of this 3074-nucleotide long non-coding RNA. RefSeq lists it as uncharacterized. Lineage: Eukaryota; Metazoa; Chordata; Actinopteri; Cyprinodontiformes; Poeciliidae. The record is from RefSeq and is a predicted model, not a curated record. The transcript has 2 exons.